UAAAGAUUCAUCGGCUGCGGAUGGCCAUGCGGCGCAUUAGCUAGUCGGCGGGGUAACGGCCCACCGAGGCGACGAUGCGUAGGGGUUCUGAGAGGAAGGUCCCCCACACUGGUACUGAGACACGGACCAGACUCCUACGGGAGGCAGCAGUGAGGAAUAUUGGUCAAUGGCCGGGAGGCUGAACCAGCCAAGUCGCGUGAGGGAAGACGGCCCUACGGGUUGUAAACCUCUUUUGUCAGGGAGCAAGAGGCGGGUCGAGACCUGCUGUGAGAGUACCUGAAGAAGAAGCAUCGGCUAACUCCGUGCCAGCAGCCGCGGUAAUACGGAGGAUGCGAGCGUUAUCCGGAUUUAUUGGGUUUAAAGGGUGCGCAGGCGGAGGCACAAGUCAGCGGUAAAAUCGCGGGGCUCAACCCCGCUCCGCCGUUGAAACUGUGUCCCUUGAGUGCGCGAAGGGUAGGCGGAAUGCGUGGUGUAGCGGUGAAAUGCAUAGAUAUCACGCAGAACUCCGAUCGCGAAGGCAGCCUACCGGCGCGCAACUGACGCUCAUGCACGAAAGCGUGGGUAUCGAACAGGAUUAGAUACCCUGGUAGUCCACGCAGUAAACGAUGAAUGCUAUCUGUCCGGCCGGAAUGACGGCUGG
Molecule: ribosomal RNA, 640 nt
Filed under: uncultured bacterium
Lineage: Bacteria
Description: bacterial SSU rRNA
Rfam family: Bacterial small subunit ribosomal RNA
Source: RNAcentral